CUUGAUCGAGCCGAGCCACAGCGGACGGUCGGCCGGCCGCUGCUGGCCGUAGGUCGCGAGCAGGGCCUGCGCCUC
This 75-nucleotide antisense RNA is filed under the name Frankia canadensis. RNAcentral's name for it is "ASpks TB sRNA". It matches the Rfam family "ASpks TB sRNA". The record is from Rfam by way of RNAcentral. Lineage: Bacteria; Bacillati; Actinomycetota; Actinomycetes; Frankiales; Frankiaceae.